AUAUAUGUCCUGUAUUUUACAAGUGAGAUGAGACUCAAAUAAAUAAUCUGUCUGUCUGUCUCCAAAACUCUUUCUUCUGAUG
Haliotis rubra (blacklip abalone) is the source of this 82-nucleotide long non-coding RNA. RefSeq lists it as uncharacterized. The record is from RefSeq and is a predicted model, not a curated record. The transcript has 3 exons. NCBI's taxonomy places the organism in Eukaryota, Metazoa, Mollusca, Gastropoda, Lepetellida, Haliotidae.